Molecule: ribosomal RNA, 487 nt
Filed under: uncultured bacterium
Lineage: Bacteria
Description: bacterial SSU rRNA
Rfam family: Bacterial small subunit ribosomal RNA
Source: RNAcentral
GAUGAACGCUAGCGGCAGGCCUAACACAUGCAAGUCGAGGGGUAACAUAGAAAAGCUUGCUUUUCUGAUGACGACCGGCGCACGGGUGCGUAACGCGUAUACAACCUACCUUUUAGCGGGGAAUAGCCCAGGGAAACUUGGAUUAAUGCCCCAUAGUAUAUAGACUUCUCCUGAAGUUUAUAUUAAACAUUUAUGGCUAUUAGAUGGGUAUGCGUCCUAUUAGUUAGUUGGUAAGGUAACGGCUUACCAAGGCAGCGAUAGGUAGGGGUCCUGAGAGGGAGAUCCCCACACUGGUACUGAGACACGGACCAGACUCCCACGGGAGGCAGCAGUGAGGAAUAUUGGACAAUGGGCGAGAGCCUGAUCCAGCCAUGCCGCGUGCAGGAAGACUGCCCUAUGGGUUGUAAACUGCUUUUACAGAGGAAGAACCACCCCCACGUGUGGGGGUUUGACGGUACUCUGCGAAUAAGGAUCGGCUAACUCCGUG